UACGUAGGGUCCGAGCGUUGUCCGGAAUCAUUGGGCGUAAAGAGCUCGUAGGUGGUGUGUCGCGUCUGCUGUGUAAGUCCGGGGCUCAACUCCGGGUUUGCAGUGGAUACGGGCAUGCUAGAGGUAGGUAGGGGAGACUGGAAUUCCUGGUGUAGCGGUGAAAUGCUCAGAUAUCAGGAGGAACACCGGUGGCGAAGGCGGGUCUCUGGGCCACUACUGACGCUGAGAAGCGAAAGCAUGGGGAGCGAACAGGAUUAGA
Molecule: ribosomal RNA, 259 nt
Filed under: uncultured prokaryote
Description: partial 16S ribosomal RNA
Rfam family: Bacterial small subunit ribosomal RNA
Source: RNAcentral